Molecule: non-coding RNA, 110 nt
Filed under: Burkholderiales bacterium
Lineage: Bacteria; Pseudomonadati; Pseudomonadota; Betaproteobacteria; Burkholderiales
Description: SAH sequence
Rfam family: SAH (S-adenosyl-L-homocysteine) riboswitch aptamer
Source: RNAcentral
CAUUCCGAGGAGCGUUGCAGCUCACGCCAAGGGCAAAAGCCCGGCGCUGAGUGAGGCUCGGAACCCGCUGCGGCCUACGGCUUGGCGUUUCACAACGGCGCUCACCCACU